This is a long non-coding RNA of Brassica rapa (field mustard), 8845 nucleotides long. RefSeq lists it as uncharacterized. The record is from RefSeq and is a predicted model, not a curated record. NCBI's taxonomy places the organism in Eukaryota, Viridiplantae, Streptophyta, Magnoliopsida, Brassicales, Brassicaceae.
GCUAUUAUUGACAAUUGCCCUUGAUUUUUUUCUUUAAUUAAAAAAAUAUUAAUUUUAAUAUUUAUGUUUUUAACUAAAACAACUUAUUUAUUUAAACAUAUGAAGUUAUGGUGUGAAAGUCUAUAAUAUAUUGUUCAAAAGAAGAAAAUAGAUGAAUAGAAGGAGAACAUGUGUGGGUUACUGCAUGCGACUUGAAGGUAAGGAUCUGACUGGUUCAAACUCAGCGGUUACGGGAGUUUGUGGAUGCGAAUGGUUGCGGUUUCUAUCGGUUUUAAAAGAUUUGUACGACUGGUACUGCAGUUAAAAAUUGGUGCGUUUGCGGGUGACUUAUGACCGGUUAACUAUCAAAUGCGGUAACAAUCAAAUAAUAAAUUAACAAUAUUUACAUUUAAUAUAAUUAUAAAAAUAUCAAAAAUCAUAAAAUUAUAAUAAAUAUAAAAUUUAUAUUUAGAAAGUUAUAAUUUUAAUUUUUUUAAAUUUAUUGAAAUUGUUUUUAUUAUAAAAUUUUAUAAUAUUAAUUAAAAUAUAAUAGAUAUAUUUUCUUAAUUUCAAUUUUAAAAUUUUCAUUAAAUAUUUUUAUUUUUGUAUAUAUAUUGUUUAAAAAAAAGAAAAAAAUUUUACCCUCCCGCAACCGCAAACUCUAGCUGGAGCCAACUUUUGAAUUUAUAAGAUUCGAAGCGGUUUGAAGCGGUUUGAAGCGAUUUGAGUGAUUGUUGCAAACCGCCGACAACCGCUACCAACCGUAAAAGCUGCGUUUGCGGGUGGUAGCGGAAAAACCGGUCACCCUCUAAAUCGAUAUGGGGUUCACUAGCGACUAAUCGUUGACAAAAAAAAUUAGUGACUAAUCAGCUGACUAACUAAUAACAAUUCAAACUUGUUAAUAUUUUUGCAAGCAAAUGUAGUUACCGUGGCUGGACUUUACACAACCAACUACCCCUACAAAGUCAGUCUCUUUUUCCUUUUACGUUAAUUGUUUUUUAUAUCAACUAAAUUUAAUUUAUAUAUUUCAUUUAGCAUCUACAGUAGCUCACAGUUACUAAAUUCUAAUUAACAACGUCUUUAGAGCAUUAGUAUUGACGGAUAUCUUGAACAUUUCUUCGCGAAAAAGUAAUACUUGAAGUUUUAGGAUGAAACACAACUAUUAAGAAACUUGUCUUUUAUCUAUAAAAAUAUUAUUAAAAUAUAAAUUAAAAAUUAUUUAACCAAUCACAAAACAGACUACAAAAUAUGAUUAGUUACACAGUUUUUGAUAAAGUUAAAAAGUACAUUGAAUUAUGAAAAUAUCAUCUAUUUUGAAACAUCAAAAACUCUCUAAAACAUCAUCUAUUUUGAAACGGAAGGAAUAGAAAAAUUAUCAAAAAUUCACCUCUAAAUAUUAUAACAAACAAAACUAUGUUCUAACUCAUCUCUAUUUCUUUUAAACAAAAAUUGCUAUUUUCUAAAUAUAUAAGCAAAACGGUAUUCCUUUAUUAUAGAGUUUAACUUCUUCUUUUUAAAAAAAAAAAAAGAUGAUCUUUCACUUUUAAAAUGUGUACAGUGUACUUAUAACUAAAAUAAAGUUUGCUAUAAUUUAUUUUAUAUGUAAGAGUUUCCUUAGUUCAUUGGUUUUAUUAAGUGUUUGUUAAUACUUUUAAAUUAGGAGAUCUGUGUUUUGAAUGAAAAAAUCUAAAUUAUGCAUAAAAUCGAAGAAAUGAUAUCCAAAAAAUCUUCAAUAUGGUGUAAUUAAGAUAUAUUUGUUAGACAUGAAUUUCAUAAGACGGUUUAAGAUGGUGUAAUUAUAAGUAAAUUUUCAUGAGGCAUAUAGAAUUAUCCGUUGUAAAAUUGUCUUUGUAUUGUUUUUCAUAGUUUGCAAAUGAUCUAACUAACCAUAGUUAAAAGAAAAUUAUAUAUAGUGAAAAUAAUAAUUUUUAUUUUUUAUUCUAUAUUUUGAGAAGAACUAUUUUACAAAAGUAUAUUAAAGUAAACUUAAUUUCUAUUAUAUAAUUUUUUAUGUAAAAAGUAGCAAAAAUACAUGUAUGAUGAGCAUUUCUAAUAUAUAAUUCUAUUUUCCUCCAAAAAAAUAACUAUAUAAUGAAAUGUGGUUUUGUUCUAAUCCUAUUCCAUUUUGAAAAAAAAUAGAGUAAAAAUUAAACAAAAAUACAUCACUAUAUUUAUAUAGAGUAAACUCAUUUUAUAUUAUUAUAUAAUAAAAAUAAUAUGAAAUUUGAAUAUUUAUUACUUUAAAUUCUAUUUUGAAAUAAAAAAUGUAAUGGAGCUGGAGAUGUAAUGCACCAAUCACCAUCAAACAAGAGAACACACGGUCAGAACGUCUUUCAUCAAUCUAAUAGUUUAGCUAAAAUUUUAGUACGAUAACAAAAUUGCUAAAAGUCUGAAAGUAACAUUAUGAAGUUUGAAAUAGAGAUAUUGUGUUUAUAUCAAUGAUUACUAUCAAUAUAUACUAUACUUAACAAAUAUCUACUAUUUUACCAAAAAAAUAAUAUAUAUACACUAUACACUUAAAACAUACAGCAGAUAAGCUUGCUUAUCAAACGUUGUCUGUAAAUUGUAUAUGUUCGUUUGGCAUUUGUGUUUACUAGUUUCAUAGUGUAAUUAACAAAUCGCGAAAUAAAAAGCCAUUUAUAGAUAUUGUAUCUAUGCGUAUGGCAUUUAUGUCCACUAUUUUACAACGUAAUUAAGAAAAUCAUAAGAAGUCUAAAAUACUCAGACAAUAGUUAGCUGUAAUAUAGGAGAAAAAACAGAUAGACCUAAAGAGAAUUAUAUGUCUACUUUUUUGAAUGAAAUUAUGUCUAUUUAACUGAUAAAUAGAAUAAAACAAUAGUAGAUUGAGAACAUGAGUGUGGCCCAGUUAUAAUUUAAAUGUUAGCUAGGCAUGGUCGAUAAACAAGCAAAAGGCCAAAAUUUUGAGAACUACAACGACAAGAGUGGUAUGGUAUGCGUGUAAAGGAGCUUUUAACAAUGAGACUCGCAGAAACCACUGAAUGCAAUUAUGCCUUUUACCGAUUUUAUUACUUUUAAGGGUUACCUUUUCAGCAUUUUUUUUUUUGAAUUACACUCGUAUUGAUAUUGUUUUUUGAAAGAACUUGCUAUGAUUUUAUUCUGCCUCCUAUUACUCUGAAAUUUAAAUGUGAACUUGCUUUGGACAUAUCAGGACAUAUAAUAAAAUAUAUCAAAUUUGUACAUAAACAGUUUUUUGCUUUCUGGCAGAAAACUGUGAAUAUUGGAUUUAUAUGAUUUACGAAGUUAUUUCGGUGAGUACAUUCAAUUCAUCGAAACGUGUUUAAUUUGACAAAACAACCAAAAUAUUUUCUGUUAAUAUAAUAUUUUAACCCGAGACGACACAUACCAAACAUUUCUCUAUGAUCACGUAAAUUUAUUUGAAAUAAGAUAUUUGAGUCAAGAGGAUUUGCGUAUUGCUAAUCCGAAUGCGUGUUUCAUAGUACAUUUAGAUCAAUUUUGAAUAGUUCGUAAGAGAUACUUUGGUACUAAUUUCCAUUCGUAAAGUGUUAUGUUAGCCACUAAUUGUAUAUUCUCUGUACUGAAUACACUUUCAAUUUGUCAAAAUCGCGUCUGCUAAUUCUAGAUUAAAAAUAUCCUGAAACGUUAUCAAAGACUAAGCGAUAAUCAAACUGGAUAAACGGAUACAAACAAAAAGGCAUUGUUUACACCCAAUUUGAUGAUUCACGCCAAGCUUUUUCCAUCUUUUCCAAGGCCAAAUCAUUUCUCCUUUUAAAUGUUCAUUUUAUAAAAUCAAUUUAUUUUCAUUCCACUACGCACCAUUUUAAACGAAAAGAGAUUUAUCCCUUUUUCGACGUGUUUAUAAAUAUUACCUUAACACUUAAAAAUUGGUAAGUUUUAUGAAUUCUAUUUUUGUUUUUUUGGGGAAUGUGUAUGGAAUGAUGUAUAAAAUGCUUUUGGGGAGCUUGAGUGUAAGCCAAGUCUUUUAAACCUUUUUGUUAUUCUUCUUAAGCUUUUGAUGUAUUUUGUACCUAAUUAUAAUUUGUAGAAAAGCUACAUAACUUUCUGAAAAAAAAAGAUAAGAAAAACAUAAAAUAAACAGUGCAAUAUUUUUUUUGACGUCACAUAUAUAUUCUUUUUGUAGGCAUUCAAAUAUAAACUCCAAAGUCCAUAUCAGACGAUGUAACUCAUCGAGCCACAUGUAUAUUAGUUGAUUAAUACCAAUGGCUACGAGGCUACGUCUUUCAAUUGUUUUUUCCAAGUUAAUAACGAAUCUUUUUAUGACAAAAACGCACCAAAUGGAAAAAGUAGCAAACGUAUUCUUAACUUUUUUAAGAAAUAUAUGAUUUAACAGGGAUCAUACCAUUCAUACAUUUGAAUCGAGUACCAUGUCAAAUACCUUUUUGAAUAAUGUUCAAAGCUUUCUAGGAUGGUUUGUCAAACGAGAUAUGAUUGCUCAUUGACACAUAAGACUUAUACGAACGUAGCCAUCACGGAGAGAGAUAGAGAUAUGACAUUGGUGACGAUGAUGAUGAUAAUGGGGCCAAGGUAACAAUGUUCCCCACUCGAAAUUGUCGCCGAAAAUUAAUCCUACCAUUCCUCUUUAUCAAGUCACCGUAUCAUUAUCAAAAUUCAUAUAAAUUCAUAUGAGCACUUCCUUUCUUCGUUUGCGUGUUUGGUUUAUAGUUGUUACUGCAGCAUCUUUUUUACAAACUAUUAAACUUGUAUAUUUUCAUAUGUACGCGGUAAAAGAUUGUUUGCUCAUAAUUGAUAUGUACGCGAGAUCAUCCGCAUCUAGUGGCGUGGGGAUUGAAAACCUUUUUCAUGGCGUAAAUACUCGGGAGAAAAGUACAAAUAAUCAUAGUGUGGUGGAAUUUGAGUUUCAACCGUUGAAUACUUCUUUUGUAUUUAACGUAAAUCAUUUAUGAUGGAUGGGAAACAUAUGAAGCAUUUUAAGAACAUUUUAUUGUGUUAAAACAUCUUGAGUUACUUUGUCCAAAAAUACUAUAUUUUGUAUAAAGCCUUGGUAAAUUAAUAACAAACAAAACAUACAUAUUUCUUAGGAACGGAAAACAGAACUUGAUCGCAAUGAUCACAUACAUAUGGAAAUUUGGAUUGUGGGAAUAUUUAUAUAUAUAUAAAUCAAUUUGUUGGAACUGAAAAUAUAGGGAAAAAUUAAGAAAAGGGGAAUAGACAGACUCCAUUUGGUCUGAAACUGAAAUACAACUUUUACCUUUAUGGGUUGGCUAAAGGAGUGGGAAUGGCCCAUCCCCACCCUCUCACGUCUUGUCUCUUAUAUCCUUCUUUUCUCAUUAUCCUCUUUUAUUUACUGUUUUCAUAAUAAUUACAGACAGAAACACUAACUAGAAGUCUACAAACCAAGCAUUUCUUUGUGUCUUAUUCUCUUUAUUUGUUGUCUUAAUGUCUUUUGGCUUGGGUUCACUUUAGUUUACUUAGAGUUCAUUCAAAACUUUUUGACUCUUUAUCGUAAUUUGUAUGUUAAACAUGUAGCAUGAGUUAUGAGCCAUUUUUAUAUGAUUAAUAAAUAAUACACUCCAAGCAGUUUAGGCGUGUUUUUUUUUUUUUUUUUUUUUUUUUUUUUUUGAUGAAAUUUUCAAUUUAUUGAUCAAUCAGAAAAUGCCAUUUACAAAGAAUAGGCUAGCUAUAAAUUGGAACUUAAAACUAUAAAAGAAAAAAACUUUAUACUAGCUAAAUUUGUAAAAUUCUAAUCAAAGACUUCAAACCAUCUCCUAAGAAUUCUAUUGAACUUGUGACCCGCCUUGUAACCAAGAGAGCUAAUUCGAUUCUUGAUUCCUCUGUUAAUUGUUUUGAUCAUUUGAUCAGUUCCCUGAUGACCUUGUUGGUGCCUUCGUGUAUUCCGUUCUCGCCAAAUAUGGUACACGACAGCCUGGAACACUAGACGAAUGAGAAUCAUAUCCAUCUCAUUGGACGUGCCUGCUUGAAUAUACUUUAGCAUAUCAUGCCAGUCUGGGUUUAUCCUCCUUCCAACCAAUCUGCUAGCGAGACGAUCCCAUACUGUAUAAGAGUAUGGACAUGCGAAAAACAAAUGAUCUAGUGUCUCAUCUCUUUCACCACAUAACACACAGCCCUGGUGGAUUCCCCACUUUCUCAUUCUGUCCCCUGUAGAUAGCCUGUUCUGAAUCGCAAGCCAGACUAGGAAUGCAUGCCUAGGGAUCCCUUGUGUGAACCAAACACUUCUACUCCAAACUACUUCAUCUCGCUUGCUCCGUAUCUGCUCCCAUGUUUUCGCUGCAUUGAAGCUGUCUUGAUAAACCCCUUCUUCAUAUCUCCAAAGGAACAUAUCAGGUCCCUGUGAAACAUUAGGAACUGGUUCGAUCUGGACUCUAUGAUGCAGCUCAUGAUAAUGUCGACUCCGUUGGCCCCUUAUCUUCCACUGGCCCUCGGAGACAGCAUCACUCACUCUAGCGUUACGUGGAACCCCAAGAUAACGCGUACCGGUUGCUCCUGUAAUAUUAAUGAGCUUCCCCAUACGUAGCCAGUCGUCGUGCCAGAAAGUUAGAUAGGAAUGAGUACAUAGCGGGUUCAGAACUAUUUCUAACCCUUAACCAUAUCAAUAGCCAAGAUGCCAUGGACCAUUUAUAACUCUCAUAUACUUUUAAGACAUAUAUUAAAGAAGCGACUGGUUCUGUUUUUAAGAUAUUUACCUUCGUAUAUUGGUGAAUCUGCACAUAUAGUAUAAAUGUAUAUGAUAGUGGAAAGUUAGAUGAAAGAAGAGAAGGGUAGAGGGUUAGGUCAAAAGGAAAGGCUGUGAAUUUUAUAAGAACAUUCAAUAAGACUAUAACGGUAACAAGUGUGCGUGUAUGCCUUUUGCAAGGUUUGCGUUGGAGACAAAAUUAAAUUAUUUGUUAUAGUGGGACUUGUUAAACACUUACACCAAAUAGAGAACAUGUUUCUAUACCUACCACUCCCUCUUUUCCUCUCGUCUAAAAUUUCUCACAUUUUGUCUUUAGUUUUUCCUUGUUUUUUGGCUUUUACUUAGCUACCGUCCUUUUCAAUUUCAGAUUUUUUUUUUUGCUAAUAUCAUAACCAACAUAAAGAUAAAAUCAGUUAUAUACUUUAUUUCUCACUACUAUUUUUUAUGUGUCACGACUCACGAUAUAUAAUGUCUAAGGUUUCUGCACAUAAUUUUUUCUAGAUUAAAUCAUCAUUUGCUACUUAUAUCAUCACUAUUCAGCAAAUAAUAAAAUAGUAUCUUUAUAUAUAAAAUACAGUUUAUUCUCUCCUUAGAGAGACACCUCAGCAGACAUGUCACAAAUUCACUCAUUUUCAGGAUGACACAUGUCCCCUUCGGAUGAAACUCACUGUUUCAUUAAGUGAUGUGUUCCGGCAUGAUUUGGGCCUAUUUAAUUACACGUACAUUUUGACGUGUUUUUGGGCUUGGAAAUCAGGUGUGUUCCGUUUCCCUGUGUACAAAGCUCGAUAGCCCAAUAGAGUAAACCCUAAUUGUGUUCUACGUGAAGAAAUGGAAUGUUAGUGUUUUGUCUCUCAUUUUUUUCCGUCUCUCUUCUUUGUUCUGUGGAGACUGCUGAACUUCAUCCCUAAAUCUGAAACGGUCCGAGUUAUGUGUUCUUCAUGUUUAAUCUCUAUUAAUUCAAUAAACCACGAUGAGGCUUUGAAUGUGUGCUUAGAUUCGUUGAGUAAUUGUAUCUGCGAGUAUAAAUAGGUGAUACUCAUGCCAGCCACCGUCUCACCGCGUACAUGCAUCUUUUGAAAGCGAGUUCAAUAUACUCCUUGAGCGGAUUUGAUAUGACUCGGUUCAGUCAGAAUUUCAGACAUGUUCAUCAUCAGAGUUGUGGAGUCAUGAAGUAUCACUUUUCAGGAACGUUCAUUCUUCCCACUUUUGAUAUGGUAGAACAAAAAUAUGUGACAGCUGAGGGUACUGAAUGAUAGUUUUCCUUGAAAGCAAAAUUCUCAAACCCCCAAAAGCUGGAGCCAAAGCUUCUAAAGAAGCAAUAGAAAUGUGGACAGAAGUUUCUCUAGUUUAAUUGUGGCCGCAAAAGACCAAGACCCAUGGAAUUUAGUUAUAUUAUUGCAACUGCUAUCCUACUCUACUCUCUUUGCAAUAUAUGAUCAAUAAUAAAAGCCUCUGGCGACAUGUAUGCAGAACCUUCAGCAAGGAAACCUGGCCAUCAAUCUGCAAAUAACUGCACCGUCCGUGGCUACAGGAAUAUCAGGUAUUUUUGUCCCAAUAGAUAAAUGGUGGAGAGGUGUUGUUGUUAAAAACUGGAAUAUGCCUAAAAUGCAGUUGCUUCCAUCAACAACUCACCCUCACAUGCACAUGAGCUAUUUUGGAAGCUACGUUAUUAGCGGCAUCACAAUCUCUACGACUUGAUUCUUUUCUCUAGACGUGAUUCUUAUCUCCAUACCUCAUUCUUCUCUUAUCAUUUUCAAUAACUGAGGUUUGUUGUUUGAUCUUUGUUUCAAAAGGUAUUUGUAUUUGUUUACUGUUGAGAAAUACGUUACACAUUCAUGUUUAUAUCAAGCUGGCAGAUUCUUCCGUCAACAUUCGCUUUACCAUCCUAAGUAAGUUCGUUGAAAUAACGGCGGUCAUAGCUCAAAUACUGACUAAAUAUAAAUGUUUGGUUUUUCUCACUUGGCCAAACUUCUCGGUAACAAUAUCAUUAACAAACAGAACAAUAACAACAUCAUUACCUUGGUUAUUGGUGAGAAAAGAUUCUGUAGUUUUUGAUGUGUACAUGGUCAUCACCUUAAUUUCAAAUUACUUCUAAGAAGAAAAAAAUACAUGUUGGGUUUAACCAGUAAUAACCAAUAUUUUAAUAAUACAUUAUGCUUUGCUAGCUCCUACUUUAUAAUUCUACGGAGCUAAUACCAAAAAAAAAAGAAGAAC